RNAcentral lists this ribosomal RNA (424 nucleotides) under Fusobacteriota bacterium. RNAcentral's name for it is "Fusobacteria bacterium partial 16S ribosomal RNA". It matches the Rfam family "Bacterial small subunit ribosomal RNA", at positions 355 to 776 of the family's 1533-position model. Lineage: Bacteria; Fusobacteriati; Fusobacteriota. The record is from RNAcentral.
UGAGGAAUAUUGGUCAAUGGGCGAGAGCCUGAACCAGCCAAGUAGCGUGCAGGAUGACGGCCCUAUGGGUUGUAAACUGCUUUUAUGUGGGGAUAAAGUGCGUGACGCGUCAUGCAUUGCAGGUACCACAUGAAUAAGGACCGGCUAAUUCCGUGCCAGCAGCCGCGGUAAUACGGAAGGUCCGGGCGUUAUCCGGAUUUAUUGGGUUUAAAGGGAGCGUAGGCUGUCUAUUAAGCGUGUUGUGAAAUAUACCGGCUCAACCGGUGGCUUGCAGCGCGAACUGGUCGACUUGAGUAUGCAGGAAGUAGGCGGAAUUCAUGGUGUAGCGGUGAAAUGCUUAGAUAUCAUGACGAACUCCGAUUGCGCAGGCAGCUUACUGUAGCAUAACUGACGCUGAUGCUCGAAAGUGCGGGUAUCAAACAGG